GACGAACGCUGGCGGCGUGCUUAACACAUGCAAGUCGAACGGAAAGGCCCUGCUCUUGUGGGGUGCUCGAGUGGCGAACGGGUGAGUAACACGUGAGUAACCUGCCCUUGACUUUGUGAUAACUUCAGGAAACUGGGGCUAAUACCGGAUAGGAGCUCCUGCUGCAUGGUGGGGGUUGGAAAGUUUCGGCGGUUGGGGAUGGACUCGCGGCUUAUCAGCUUGUUGGUGGGGUAGUGGCUUACCAAGGCUUUGACGGGUAGCCGGCCUGAGAGGGUGACCGGCCACAUUGGGACUGAGAUACGGCCCAGACUCCUACGGGAGGCAGCAGUGGGGAAUAUUGCACAAUGGGCGGAAGCCUGAUGCAGCAACGCCGCGUGCGGGAUGACGGCCUUCGGGUUGUAAACCGCUUUCGCCUGUGACGAAGCGUGAGUGACGGUAAUGGGUAAAGAAGCACCGGCUAACUACGUG
Molecule: ribosomal RNA, 468 nt
Filed under: uncultured bacterium
Lineage: Bacteria
Description: partial 16S ribosomal RNA
Rfam family: Bacterial small subunit ribosomal RNA
Source: RNAcentral